CUGGCUCAGGAUGAACGCUAGCUACAGGCUUAACACAUGCAAGUCGAGGGGCAGCGAGAGGAAGCUUGCUUCCUGUCGGCGACCGGCGCACGGGUGAGUAACGCGUAUCCAACCUUCCCCAUAGUAGAGGAUAGCCCGGCGAAAGUCGGAUUAAUACUCUAUGUUGUGUCAUGAGGACAUCUGAAUAACACUAAAGAUUUAUCGCUAUGGGAUGGGGAUGCGUCUGAUUAGCUUGUCGGCGGGGUAACGGCCCACCGAGGCGACGAUCAGUAGGGUUCUGAGAGGAAGGUCCCCCACAUUGGUACUGAGACACGGACCAAACUCCUACGGGAGGCAGCAGUGAGGAAUAUUGGUCAAUGGACGAGAGUCUGAACCAGCCAAGUAGCGUGCCAGGAUGACUGCCCUAUGGGUUGUAAACUGCUUUUAUGCGGGAAUAAAGUCAGGUACGUGUACCUGUUUGUAUGUACCGCAUGAAUAAGGACCGGCUAAUUCCGUGCCAGCCGCGGC
RNAcentral lists this ribosomal RNA (507 nucleotides) under uncultured bacterium. Its description in RNAcentral is "bacterial SSU rRNA". It matches the Rfam family "Bacterial small subunit ribosomal RNA", at positions 19 to 518 of the family's 1533-position model. The record is from RNAcentral.